Long non-coding RNA from Raphanus sativus (radish), 424 nucleotides. RefSeq lists it as uncharacterized. The record is from RefSeq and is a predicted model, not a curated record. Lineage: Eukaryota; Viridiplantae; Streptophyta; Magnoliopsida; Brassicales; Brassicaceae. The transcript is spliced from 4 exons.
UUCUUACCUAAUAAUAUAGCCUAUGUCUAAUUCCAAAAUCAAAGUAUGUACGUAACAAACAAAAAUAUUCUAGGAACUAGCGUGUAGAGAGAUAGAAAAAGCGAACCCUAAAUUUCUUCACGACCAUGCCGCCAAAUAUGAGAUCAAUCCUUGCUAAGGUACAUCGAACAUCGAUGUCAAUGGUGUCUCGCCGCAAUUUUUCGUCACCCGCAGUUGACGGCAAAGAUCCAAAGAAAAGAUCUACAGUGAAAUAUGCGGUAACUCGAGCCCUAGGAUUUGGUAUCCUAGGAUAUGCUACGGGACUUUACAUUGGCCAUCGUCUAUCUCUGGAGGGAGGCUGACGAACCAUUUAAGAAAUCCGAAAAGUUAUCUGGGUGGUCUAUGUAAUAACUAUGUCUCUCUGUAAGCUGAAAAACUCUUAUUU